RNAcentral lists this long non-coding RNA (853 nucleotides) under Brassica rapa (field mustard). RNAcentral's name for it is "long non-coding RNA (BRAP_LNC002204)". Lineage: Eukaryota; Viridiplantae; Streptophyta; Magnoliopsida; Brassicales; Brassicaceae. The record is from RNAcentral.
GUGGUUUGGGGUUUGGAAUAUAUUAUAAAUAAGGUUUGAGGUGAAAGAAUAGAUUGAGGUUCAAGGGUAGAUGAGUUUGGGGUUUGGAAUAUAUGAAGUAGAAGAUAAGGAAGAUGGGGUUCGGGGUUUCGGAUUUUAGGGAUUUAAACGUAAUACUCGUUAAUUCCUAGUAAGCCAAAAUCGUCGUAAGGUUGUCGUAAGGCCACGAGGAGUUUACGACGAAAUUAAAAAAAAUAAAGAAAGUGGAGCACGCUAAUUCCACGCAAGCCAAAAUCGUCGUAAGGUUGUCGUAAGGCCACGAGGAGUUUACGACGAAAUUAAAAAAAAAAUAAAGAAAGCGGGGCACGCUAAUUCCACGUAAGACUCUCUGAGUGAAUGAAAAUAAGGAAUUGUGGUUUGGAAUGAAAAUAAAGAUAGGGUUUGGAAUAUAUGAAGUAGAAGAUAAGGAAUAUGGGGUUUGGGGUUUCGGAUUUUAGAGAUUUAAACGGAAUACUCGUUAAUUCCUCGUAUGUUAACGUCGAACUUACGACGAAUUCCUCGUAAAUACCACGUAGGACAGAUUCGUCGUAAAUACCACGUAGGAGAGAUUCGUCGUAAAUACCACGUAAAGUAAAUGAUGAACGCGGCCCACUUUAAUUCCACGUAGGACGGAAUCGUCGUAAACACCUUGUAACCAAAAUCGUCGUAAACACCUCGUACCGUAAAAACUAGAAAAAAAAAAGAAAAAGAAGAAAUAUACUGGAUUUACAUGUGGCAAAACUUCCAGCAAUUAUAUUACUUAAGUCUCACCAACAUAAAUUCCAAUAUCUUCUUCUCUUCCUUUUUUCUCAAAUUUUUAUAAUUUGAAUAGAAU